RNAcentral lists this ribosomal RNA (257 nucleotides) under uncultured prokaryote. RNAcentral's name for it is "partial 16S ribosomal RNA". It matches the Rfam family "Bacterial small subunit ribosomal RNA", at positions 524 to 780 of the family's 1533-position model. The record is from RNAcentral.
UACGGAGGAUCCGAGCGUUAUCCGGAUUUAUUGGGUUUAAAGGGUGCGCAGGCGGAAGAUUAAGUCGGUGGUGAAAUUUUGCAGCUCAACUGUAACAGUGCCAUUGAUACUGGUUUCCUUGAGUGUGGAUGAAGUAGGCGGAAUUUGUGGUGUAGCGGUGAAAUGCAUAGAUAUCACGAGGAACUCCGAUUGCGUAGGCAGCUUACUGAGCCGACACUGACGCUGAGGCACGAAAGCGUGGGGAUCAAACAGGAUUA